AAAUCACAUAUUUUUGACGACCGGUCUGGCCUAGUGGGUAGUGACCCUGCCUAUGAAGCCGAUGGUCCUGGGUUCGAAUCCCGGUAAGGGCAUUUAUUUGUGUGCUGAUCACAGAUAUUUGUUCCUGAGUCAUGGAUUAUAUAUCGUUGUCUGAGUACCCACAACACAAGCUUUUUUGAGCUUACCGUGGGACUUAGUCAAUUUGUGUAAGAAUGUCGCUAUAAUAUU
Long non-coding RNA from Cydia splendana, 228 nucleotides. RefSeq lists it as uncharacterized. The record is from RefSeq and is a predicted model, not a curated record. NCBI's taxonomy places the organism in Eukaryota, Metazoa, Arthropoda, Insecta, Lepidoptera, Tortricidae. The transcript has 2 exons.